UCUAUAAAUAGUUUCUUCUCUUCCUUUAUUCUAACAUUCCCAGGAAACCCGAAGGGUCCGCGUCAAGAACACGAACAAACCGGUGAUCUCUCCGGGGAGAUCCCCAAACUUGGCACCUCUCUUUGGUCCGAUCUUUCGGCGAUUCGAAUUCUGGCUCCGGUUUCGGCCCUCGCAAAGUAGAAGCUGGUGUUCAUGGAGGGGAUCAAUCUGUAGGCAAAACCAGCAUCGUCACUCGCUUCAUGUACGAUAAAUUCGACAAUACCUAUCAGGGUACAAUAAAAUACGACGUCGUCUCAAUUUCCAUUUUCCGCUAAUUUACUGUCGUACACGUGGCGGUUUCUGAUAGGCCAACCCGAUCAUUCAAAACUUGUUACGAUUCGUCGGUUGACAAUAUAUGUCAGCGAGUCCUCUCUCUCUCUCUCUCUCUGGCUGAGAAGUUUUGCUUCGCAGAGAAAUCAACUCUAACGACUUACUUAACUUCGCCUUCUUCUAUUUGCUCCUCUCUCCAUUUCUCUCUCUCUCUUAGCCGCCAUCGUACAAGGGAAGAAGCUUUCUCUCUUCAAACACUAUGCCAGUAUCUGUGCCUUUAUACUCCAGCAUCAAGGGAAUUGCUAUUGAUUUUGUAUUUAAUAACUAGCUUUACGAACCAUUUAUUUUGAAUGUUCAAGCAUCUUUGUGAGCUAAUGAAGUGCAGGUCCAGUCUAUAAAUUGUUUUAAGUUCUGUUUUGCGUUGGUUAGAGUUGAGGAUUGCAUGUAAAUCCCAAUUAUUUUUUUUGGUGGACCUUUUUCUUAUUUUGUUUGGGAGAUUAGAGAUUUCAAGACGAUAUUACUAGAACUAAAUUUUGGCCUUUGAAUUUCAGAUUUUGUUAACAUCUGUUUGUAAGAAAAAAAAAAAACCUUUUUUUUUAAUUUCCCAGAAGGGAUAAAUAUGACAGUAUGAAGUGUUGUGGCCAAUAAAACUUCGUAUAAUCACUGGGUAAUGAGACCAAGUUGCUCUGCCUUAAUCAGUUUAUUCAAGGCUGGUUUGAUGUAAUCUUUAGCGCUGACAUAUGGUUUUGCAUUUAUGGGAAACUGUAUACAUCCGUUUGUGUAUCUGAAUCAUUCAGACUCUACUGAAAUGGUGUAGAAUAACGUCCUUAAGCAGACCAUAAGAAUUAUUCCGACAAUUACACAUCAAAUAUCAACGUUUG
This is a non-coding RNA of Carica papaya (papaya), 1190 nucleotides long. The record is from RefSeq and is a predicted model, not a curated record. NCBI's taxonomy places the organism in Eukaryota, Viridiplantae, Streptophyta, Magnoliopsida, Brassicales, Caricaceae.